CCUACGGGUGGCAGCAGUGAGGAAUAUUGGUCAAUGGACGCAAGUCUGAACCAGCCAUGCCGCGUGCAGGCAGACGGCUCUAUGAGUUGUAAACUGCUUUUGUACGAGGGUAAACGCAGAUACGCGUAUCUGACUGCAAGUAUCGUACGAAUAAAGCUCGGGUAACUCCGUGCCAGCAGCCGCGGUAAUACGGAGGAGUCAAGCGUUAACCGGAUUUAUUGGGUUUAAAGAGUGCGUAGGCGGUCGGAUAAGUUAGAUGUGAAAUCCCGAGGCUCAACUUUGGAAUUGCCUCUGAUACUGUUCGGCUAGAGAGUAGUUGCGGUAGGCGGAAUGUAUGGUGUAGCGGUGAAAUGCUUAGAGAUCAUACAGAACACCGAUUGCGAAGGCAGCUUACCAAGCUACUUCUGACGUUGAGGCACGAAAGCGUGGGGAGCAAACAGGAUUAGAUACCCGGGUAGUC
Molecule: ribosomal RNA, 460 nt
Filed under: uncultured bacterium
Lineage: Bacteria
Description: partial 16S ribosomal RNA
Rfam family: Bacterial small subunit ribosomal RNA
Source: RNAcentral